Molecule: ribosomal RNA, 497 nt
Filed under: uncultured bacterium
Lineage: Bacteria
Description: partial 16S ribosomal RNA
Rfam family: Bacterial small subunit ribosomal RNA
Source: RNAcentral
GAUGAACGCUGGCGGCGUGCCUAAUACAUGCAAGUCGAGCGAACAGAUGAGGAGCUUGCUCCUCUGACGUUAGCGGCGGACGGGUGAGUAACACGUGGAUAACCUACCUAUAAGACUGGGAUAACUUCGGGAAACCGGAGCUAAUACCGGAUAAUAUAUUGAACCGCAUGGUUCAAUAGUGAAAGACGGUUUUGCUGUCACUUAUAGAUGGAUCCGCGCCGCAUUAGCUAGUUGGUAAGGUAACGGCUUACCAAGACAACGAUGCGUAGCCGACCUGGGAGGGUGAUCGGCCACACUGGAACUGAGACACGGUCCAGACUCCUACGGGAGGCAGCAGUAGGGAAUCUUCCGCAAUGGGCGAAAGCCUGACGGAGCAACGCCGCGUGAGUGAUGAAGGUCUUCGGAUCGUAAAACUCUGUUAUUAGGGAAGAACAAAUGUGUAAGUAACUAUGCACGUCUUGACGGUACCUAAUCAGAAAGCCACGGCUAACUACGUG